AGCUCCAAUAGCGUAUAUUAAAGUUGUUGCAGUUAAAAAGCUCGUAGUUGGAUUUCUGGCCGGGGUCAACGGCGCGCGACGCGCGCCCGCGUCCCCGCCCAUCCGUCUGUUAAGCCGGUAUGGCAUUCUUUUGCUGACCGGUGGCUCAGACAAUUUACCUUGAGAAAAUUAGAGUGUUUCAGGCAGGCUCGCGCCGGGAUACAUUAGCAUGGAAUAAUAGAACAUGACUUGAGUCUCUUCUGUUGGUUUGAGGGAUGCAAGUAAUGAUUAAUAGGGAUAGUUGGGGGCAUUAGUACUUAACUGUCAGAGGUGAAAUUCUUGGAUUUGUUAAAGACUAACUUAUGCGAAAGCAUUUGCCAAGGAUGUUUUCA
This 371-nucleotide ribosomal RNA is filed under the name uncultured eukaryote. RNAcentral's name for it is "SSU rRNA". It matches the Rfam family "Eukaryotic small subunit ribosomal RNA", at positions 587 to 972 of the family's 1831-position model. The record is from RNAcentral.